UAUUAGAUGGCUGAAAGUAAGUAUUGGCCUCUUAAGCCAUAUUAUAGUAAUUAACAUCUACUUCUAAUAA
RNAcentral lists this transfer RNA (70 nucleotides) under Lucidina sp. FM13. Its description in RNAcentral is "tRNA-Lys". It matches the Rfam family "tRNA". From Rfam's summary of the family: Transfer RNA (tRNA) molecules are approximately 80 nucleotides in length. The record is from RNAcentral. RNAcentral also lists the same sequence under 1 other name. Lineage: Eukaryota; Metazoa; Arthropoda; Insecta; Coleoptera; Lampyridae.